Molecule: long non-coding RNA, 213 nt
Filed under: Nicotiana benthamiana
Lineage: Eukaryota; Viridiplantae; Streptophyta; Magnoliopsida; Solanales; Solanaceae
Description: long non-coding RNA (NBEN_LNC030008)
Source: RNAcentral
CUCAUCUGCCAUUCGUAUUAGUGCAGCUUCGCGUCUUCCCUCGAGUAAAUCAAGAUUGACCUGCAUCUCUUCACUAUUGGAUUCUUCGGUUGCCUGUACAAACCGUGUGCUUAGGUCUCCUAUCUCGACUGGAAUCAAAGACUCGUCACCAUAAAUCAGUGGAAAUGAUAUUUCUCCCGUGCUCAUCUUUGUAGUUGUACAAUAAUCCCAUAA